This 831-nucleotide ribosomal RNA is filed under the name Octotemnus parvulus. RNAcentral describes it as "SSU rRNA". It matches the Rfam family "Eukaryotic small subunit ribosomal RNA", at positions 120 to 893 of the family's 1831-position model. RNAcentral also lists the same sequence under 1 other name. Lineage: Eukaryota; Metazoa; Arthropoda; Insecta; Coleoptera; Ciidae. The record is from RNAcentral.
UUAGAUCGUACCCACACUUACUUGGAUAACUGUGGUAAUUCUAGAGCUAAUACAUGCAAACAGAGCUCCGACCGGAGACGGAAGGAGCGCUUUUAUUAGAUCAAAACCGAUCGGUGGUGGGUUCGCCCAUCAUCGUACAAUUUGGUGAAUCUGAAUAACUUUAAGCUGAUCGCACGGUCUUGCACCGGCGACGCAUCUUUCAAAUGUCUGCCUUAUCAACUGUCGAUGGUAGGUUCUGCGCCUACCAUGGUUGUAACGGGUAACGGGGAAUCAGGGUUCGAUUCCGGAGAGGGAGCCUGAGAAACGGCUACCACAUCCAAGGAAGGCAGCAGGCGCGCAAAUUACCCACUCCCGGCACGGGGAGGUAGUGACGAAAAAUAACGAUACGGGACUCAUCCGAGGCCCCGUAAUCGGAAUGAGUACACUCUAAACCCUUUAACGAGGAUCAAUUGGAGGGCAAGUCUGGUGCCAGCAGCCGCGGUAAUUCCAGCUCCAAUAGCGUAUAUUAAAGUUGUUGCGGUUAAAAAGCUCGUAGUCGAAUCUGUGUCUCGCGCCGCCGGUUCAUCGUUCGCGGUGUUAACUGGCGUGCCGCGGGACGUCCUGCCGGUGGGCUUAGCUCGAGAGGGCGGCCCAAAUCAAUCCUGCCGCGGUGCUCUUCAUUGAGUGUCGAGGUGGGCCGGCACGUUUACUUUGAACAAAUUAGAGUGCUUAAAGCAGGCUAAAUUUCGCCUGAAUACUGUGUGCAUGGAAUAAUGGAAUAGGACCUCGGUUCUAUUUUGUUGGUUUUCGGAACCCCGAGGUAAUGAUUAAUAGGAACGGAUGGGGGCAUUC